ACCAUGACAUAAUUAAUCCUAUAAGCCAACCCUUCAAGAGGGAUAUAUCAAAAAUACCCCUCUAUGGGUCUCCUAACACUUAAGCCUUAUUAGCAUGUGAAACAUGGGUCAUAUGGGUUCAUAAAAGUGAAUAAACUCAUAAUAAUUUUGAUGUCACAAUUUUAACAAUCUUCACCUAGAUAGUAAAAUCACUUCCUUGUUUUGACAAUUUUCUUUUAAACAUCACCACCAUUUCUUCAUAAACACUUUAUCUUUAUUCCUUUCUUGUUAACCUCAAAAAAGUCAAGAAAAACUUGACUCCGCAGAAAUGACCUUUUUAAGGGUGUCCAACAGAUUUUUACUAGUGUGAAUCUUCUCAAGAGUAACAUAUCUUUCCUCUACCAUGUGACACAAGAUACGCAUUGAUACAUUUGACAUGUAGCACUAAAGUUAGAUGAUAACACUUAUGUACAUUAGCAUGAUUGGCACAUGUAGAGUUGAACACAAGUCAAGCCGAUCCGAGUUUGACCCAAGUUUGGUUUGGCUUGUUUUUGUGACACCCCCUUGUCAAGCUUUACACAAACCAAGCUUUGGGCUUAUCCCUACUGUUUGAGCUUGGUUUGGUCCAAAUAUUCGAGGUGAGCUGAGCUGAGUUCAAUCAGGAGUCAACUCAUUUUUUAUUAAAUAAACAAUAUACAUAAUACAAACUUUUUUAUACAAAGAUAACACUAGAAAAUGAGUUGGAAAAUGGAUGGGCAGCGUGAAUAUGAAUCACAUACAUUGAAGUGGGCCCCACCACAAGAAAACAGUAUUGAUCCGAAACUUAUGUCCCCUAACAAGUUUAGAUCAUGUGCUGUAGUCUACCAAAGGCUAUGAUCUUAUUUAUUUUUAUCUCAUACUAUAAAAUGAGUUGAUUUUUUUACCGAUGUUUUGGAUAAAAUACAUAUAUCAUAGUGGGGCCCACAACUUUUACACCAACUACGUGGCGGGUGUUGAGGUCACCAACCAAUUCGAAUCCUGCUUUAGCGUACUGAGUAAACUUUGUGGGCCCACCAUCAUGUAUAUAUAUUAUCCACACAAUGCAUCCAUUUUUACAUAUUAUUUUAGAACAUAAUCCAAAAUUGAAUCAUAUCCAAAGCUCAAAUGCAACAAACCACAGGAAACAAUGUGCAUUCAUGUAUAUGUAUUAUCCAAGCCGUACAUCCAUUUUUACAUAUCAUUUUAGGACAUGAUCCCAAAAUUGAAUCAUAUCCAAAGCUAAAGUGGAUCACACCACAGGAAACUAUGUGCAUACAAUUUACAAGCCGAAUCAAACCAAGCUAAAUCAAGCCAAGUUUCAAGCCGAGCCGAUCCGGUAGUGCCUUGGUUUGAGCGGUUUAUUUUUUAAAAUGAGCUUAACUCUAAAGCUUGGUUUAGUUUGAAUUUCUAUUCGAACCAAUCAAAGCCAAGCUUUUUUAAACCAAUCGAAGCCAAGCUUUUGAGAUGGCUUGGUCUGUGUUCAACCAUAAGUACAUACCAUAUUUAGAGGAUUGAAGAUGGACAAUGGCACGUGUGGCACAUUAAUACUUGUGAAGUGAUUUUGCAAACGUGGAGUGAAUGGUGGUACAUGUGCCACAAUAGCACAUGUGGGGUAAACGAAAAGAUAGAUGGUGACACGUGUAGUGCACUGGGGGCUCUUUACACAUGUGGGGCAAAAGAUAAGAUGAAUGGUAGCAAACUAUGCCACGUGUGGGGCAUGAUUGAAGAUUUUACUUUCAUAGUAGGAAAAUGCCUUUUUUAUGGGUGAAGUUGGGAAAAUAAAUUUAUUUAUUUUUCAACAAAAAUAAAAAGUAGUAAAUUGUAUUUUCCAUAAUUUCCCACAUUAAAAGCCUUGACAAAUACUAACAAAUAAUAGAAAUUGAAUUUCAUGGAAAACACUCUCCUUUCCCACGCUUUCCGUGAAUCCAAACAGCCAUUUAGGAUUCAAGGCGUUGGCAUUCCUAAUUUUCUGUUUUAUUCCAUAGAUCAGAUAGAGAAAAGAAAGAAAGAAAGAAAAAAAAAAAUCAACCAUCAACUUCUAACAUCUAUUAGAUAGGCCCCGCUUUGAGGUGCUUACCGUGUUAACCAAACAUUUUGGUGAGAUGUUGCUAUGUCUUUGUAAUAAAAUGACCAACAUUUCAAGGGUCUGGAUUGUUUGAUUUUUGUGAUUUUUGCAUGCUUGCUUGUCAAUAGUGAUAUAGAAUGGAUGGAUAUUGGGAUGGAUCACAAUGGUCUGACUGUCCCUUCCAUUGCAACCACCAGGCUACAGAAUGGACGGUUCAAAAUGAUUGGAAUGUCCCCUCUCCCAUGCAACGGAUUGCAUAGGUUGCUACUAAGCUGUUUUACUCCACUAUGGUCAAUGGAUCAACAGCCAACUAAAGAGAAAUGCAAACCAUCCAAUUUGGGAGUGGUUUGUGGUAUGGUCCAUCCAUGGUGGGACUCAAUAGACUAAUGGUCCUGAUUACCGUACCGUGGGCCCCACUUGUCACUAUUCAAAAUACAUAUGUGGUUCGCCGUAUAAGUUUAAGAUGUUGUAACAAGAGGUGUUAAUAGGCCGCCAGGCCAAGCUCUGUCCAAGCCCAGCCUACAUUUUAUUGAAGCCCGACGGGCCAACUCGGCCCAUUGACACUGCUUAAAUUGAUAGCACGGCUUUGGGGCCCACUGUGAUGUAUGUUGCUUAAAUCCACACUGUCCAUCCGUCUUGAUGGCUCAUUUUAGAGCAUUACUCCAAAAAUGACUAUUAUCCCAAAAAUGAAGCAGAUCCAUCUCUUAGUUGAAUCAUGCCAUAAAAAAAAGUGGUGAUUGGCCAUUAAAAACUUAUUAUGAGUCACAAAAGUUUUGCAUCAAGCUGAUAUUGGUGUGGUCCUUUCAUCCAGGUCUUUUUAACCUUAUCAACAGAUUGGAUGGCAAAUAAACAUUCUGGGCCCACAAGAAGUUUUUAAUGAUUCAUUAAAGUUUGGGAGGAUUUGGGGUGGAUUAAGAGUUGUGGCCGCUGAAGGCAUUUGCUAUUAGAGUGGAUUGCAAGCUAUACCUGCUAAAGUCAUCUGUGCUCUAUAGACAACAGUGUGGAGAUGAGUUGAAGGCUGUUUUUACAAGCAUAUUUGAUAUACAAAGUCAUUUUCUUUUUAUUUGGCCAUGUAAAUGAAUGUAUUAUUCAACAGAUCCAAUACACAUUUCUCGUAUCAAUCAAUUUUAAACAUGUUAUCUUAUUUUCA
This is a long non-coding RNA of Magnolia sinica, 3212 nucleotides long. RefSeq lists it as uncharacterized. NCBI's taxonomy places the organism in Eukaryota, Viridiplantae, Streptophyta, Magnoliopsida, Magnoliales, Magnoliaceae. The transcript has 2 exons. The record is from RefSeq and is a predicted model, not a curated record.